UACGUAGGCAGCGAGCGUUGUUCGGAGUUACUGGGCGUAAAGAGUGCGUAGGCGGUUUUCUAAGUUUGGUGUGAAAUCUCCCGGCUCAACCGGGAGGGUGCGCCGAAAACUGGGGAACUGGAGUGCAGGAGAGGUAAGCGGAAUUCCUGGUGUAGCGGUGAAAUGCGUAGAUAUCAGGAGGAACACCUGUGGUGUAGACGGCUUACUGGACUGCAACUGACGCUGAGGCACGAAAGCGUGGGUAGCAAACAGG
RNAcentral lists this ribosomal RNA (253 nucleotides) under uncultured bacterium. RNAcentral's name for it is "partial 16S ribosomal RNA". It matches the Rfam family "Bacterial small subunit ribosomal RNA", at positions 524 to 776 of the family's 1533-position model. The record is from RNAcentral.